RNAcentral lists this transfer RNA (72 nucleotides) under Haliotis rubra (blacklip abalone). RNAcentral's name for it is "tRNA-Asp". It matches the Rfam family "tRNA". Rfam says of the family: Transfer RNA (tRNA) molecules are approximately 80 nucleotides in length. Their secondary structure includes four short double-helical elements and three loops (D, anti-codon, and T loops). The record is from RNAcentral. Lineage: Eukaryota; Metazoa; Mollusca; Gastropoda; Lepetellida; Haliotidae.
UCCUCGGUAGUAUAGUGGUCAGUAUCCCCGCCUGUCACGCGGGAGACCCAGGUUCAAUUCCCGGCCGGGGAG